UGAUUGAUUGAUUGAUUGAUUGAUUGAUUGAUUGAUGGUGUUUGGAUGACAAUCUUAAUAAGAAGGCAGAUUUUGUUGGAGGAGGAAUACAGCCGGGUAACUGACAAUUCAUGUCAUUUAAAGAUUAUGGCACGGGGUUUGAACAAACAACCUCAUGGUUGUGCUUACAUGCAUGUGAUACAGAAGAUGACAUAUUUAGACCACUCGACCACAUAAGCCAUACAUUUUAACGUAUUUGACAACGGAUUUACAG
RNAcentral lists this long non-coding RNA (253 nucleotides) under Mytilus galloprovincialis (Mediterranean mussel). Lineage: Eukaryota; Metazoa; Mollusca; Bivalvia; Mytilida; Mytilidae. The record is from RNAcentral.